CCUACGGUGUGCUGCAGUGAGGAAUAUUGGUCAAUGGGCGGAAGCCUGAACCAGCCAAGUCGCGUGAGGGAUUAAGGCCCUGCGGGUCGUAAACCUCUUUUGCCGGGGAGCAGAGGUCCGGACGUGUCCGGGCCGGGAGAGUACCCGGAGAAAAAGCAUCGGCUAACUCCGUGCCAGCAGCCGCGGUAAUACGGAGGAUGCGAGCGUUAUCCGGAUUUAUUGGGUUUAAAGGGUGCGUAGGCGGGCAUUUAAGCCGGCGGUCAAAUGUCGGGGCUCAACCCCGGCCUGCCGUCGGAACUGGGUGCCUUGAGUGGGCGAGAAGUAUGCGGAAUGCGUGGUGGAGCGGUGAAAUGCAUAGAUAUCACGCAGAACCCCGAGUGCGAAGGCAGCAUACCGGCGCCCUACUGACGCUGAGGCACGAAAGUGCGGGUAUCGAACAGGAUUAGAGACCCCUGUAGUC
RNAcentral lists this ribosomal RNA (460 nucleotides) under uncultured bacterium. RNAcentral's name for it is "partial 16S ribosomal RNA". It matches the Rfam family "Bacterial small subunit ribosomal RNA", at positions 338 to 795 of the family's 1533-position model. The record is from RNAcentral.